RNAcentral lists this ribosomal RNA (545 nucleotides) under Microbacterium sp. RNAcentral describes it as "bacterial SSU rRNA". It matches the Rfam family "Bacterial small subunit ribosomal RNA", at positions 263 to 822 of the family's 1533-position model. Lineage: Bacteria; Bacillati; Actinomycetota; Actinomycetes; Micrococcales; Microbacteriaceae. The record is from RNAcentral.
GGCUCACAAGGCGUCGACGGGUAGCCGGCCUGAGAGGGUGACCGGCCACACUGGGACUGAGACACGGCCCAGACUCCUACGGGAGGCAGCAGUGGGGAAUAUUGCACAAUGGGCGCAAGCCUGAUGCAGCAACGCCGCGUGAGGGAUGACGGCCUUCGGGUUGUAAACCUCUUUUAGCAGGGAGAAGCGAAAGUGACGGUACCUGCAGAAAAAGCGCCGGCUAACUACGUGCCAGCAGCCGCGGUAAUACGUAGGGCGCAAGCGUUAUCCGGAAUUAUUGGGCGUAAAGAGCUCGUAGGCGGUUUGUCGCGUCUGCUGUGAAAUCCCGAGGCUCAACCUCGGGUCUGCAGUGGGUACGGGCAGACUAGAGUGCGGUAGGGGAGAUUGGAAUUCCUGGUGUAGCGGUGGAAUGCGCAGAUAUCAGGAGGAACACCGAUGGCGAAGGCAGAUCUCUGGCCGUAACUGACGCUGAGGAGCGAAAGGGUGGGGAGCAAACAGGCUUAGAUACCCUGGUAGUCCACCCCGUAAACGUUGGGAACUAGUUG